Molecule: RNA transcript, 3015 nt
Organism: Dermacentor albipictus
Lineage: Eukaryota; Metazoa; Arthropoda; Arachnida; Ixodida; Ixodidae
Source: RefSeq, a predicted model, not a curated record
GCAACAGCCGAGCAUGCGCAGUCUCACCGAUAAUGGACAGAACGGUAUCGAGAGCUGCCUGCGGAAGCCGCGGCUGCAAACAAGGGAAGUUCUAGCGGCCCGGUGUCUUGCAGACCGCCCGACGGACCUGGUAGCCAACCCCUCUAGUUCGAUGGGAUCUGGCAGCCUGCCGUGCUGUCAUGGUGGCCAGAUGUUUGAGCAGCCUGGUGCCUUGAUGCCCACCCUGCGGACCUACUGAUCAGCUGAUCUAGCGAGCUGGUGUCUCGAUGCCCGCCCUACUGACCUGGUGGCCAGCUCUUCUUAUCGCCUCCUAUAGGCUGCUGAUCAUAAGAUCAUGCGUGCAUUAUGAAAUCACAGGACUUUCCGGCUGCUUUUGGUUUAAAGAACACGGGGACGUACAGCCGGGUCGAGUUCAGCCUACUAGUAUGCAAGAACGAACAGCACGAGAUCGACGUGGUCGUGCCGUGCUUACAUCAGUUGGGCAAAGACGAUGCUGACCUUUGAUGCGUCGUGGGAGCACAGACUGUACGCACUGGCCAGAAGCGGCUGUUCUAUAGCGGCCAGUUGUCUUACUGCCUCCCUGAGGACCUGGUGGCCAGGCCUUCCAGCAUGAUGGUGUCUGGCAGCCCGCCCUGAUGACCUGGUGGCAAGCUGCUUGAGCAGCCGGGUGCCUUGAUGCCCAGGAUCUACUGAUCAGCUGAUCUAGGGACAUGGUACCUCGGUGUCCGCUUUGCUGAUCUGGUGACCAGAUAUUCUGGCUGCGUGAUGUCUUGCUGUGCACCCUGUAGACCUGGUAGCCAGCUGCUCUUGUCGCCUCCUAAGCUGCUGAUCAUACGAUCACGGGAGAUCUCCGGGGCUUUUGGUUCGAGCACCGCGGGGACGAAGUGUCGGGCGAAGUUCCUCUUCCUGGAAGACGAGGCCAGCACCUGUCCAAAGAACACUGCCCUGUAGACGUCCAUGGGCACAUUUCCAUGAAGACCCGGGUGGGAGAGCGUCCCUUGCCGGCGCCUCGACCCAGUUCUCGACUCGCUGGCUGGACUCGAACACCGCCUCUGGUGGCAUGUUGUCCAGCGUCACAAGAUCGACCGCGGUGCGCAAGGUCGACCUGACUUCCGUAGCAGCGAGGUGAACAACAUCCCUUGCAGCACGAUGUCAGGCCACAUGUACCAUUUGCGAGCAACGUAGGCGACACAGUGCUCCAGCCUUGCCGGUGACAUCAACACUCUGUGCUGUCAUCGUGAAGUCGGCUGCUCCACUUUGGAUUUUGGUUGGCCAGGAUGUCCAGCAGGUUCCAGAGCAGCGUGGCUCAACGGAAGUGGCGAUGAUGGCGAGGAUCUCCCAAACACGGACUUCGGCGAAUCCCUCGAUUUGGAGCAACCUGCUGCGCGGGCCACGGGACAGCCGCUGACCCCGACUGGAGAGUUUUAGCUCGAUCGCAAGGUCUCGAACCGGCGUCAAGGCAGCCACAUUCACUGUCACGACGACGUGGCCAUUCGCACCGUUGCUGAAAAUUACGACAAACGCGUGGUUCCGCACACAAAAAUAAAGUUUGAAAACACCGCUGACCAGAAGCCCAGAAGACGAAGACAACGACGACGUGUAACGCCCAUGACGUGCAAGAUCGCUCACACUUCACGUACCACGGCUCGAACUAAUAAGUGUCUGCGGGGUAGGUCCUCACUAGGCUGAGGAGAGAUUGAGGUGGGUCAUCGAAAUAGAGCACCGAUAACACGGCGACUUACCGAGUUAUAGAAGUGAUAGAGGCAGAGGAAAGACAAGGAGUGGAAUGUUGGUGAAUGCAUGAAUAUCUGAACGGAAAACCACGUACGAGUGCAAAACUUGGCGAUGUUCACAGGAGCGCAUGCUAUUCGCCUGCUGUGUUUUUUUCCAACCCACCAAGGUGGUUCAGGACCAUUUUAAACCUGUGACACAUAACGCACCUUCUGUAUACUGCGCCGUUUGCGGCUUCUAAAUUCAAAUUUGUGCAGGUAAAACGUUAUAAGCUAUAUUCGUGGAAGCCAAGUUUUGGUUUUGAAUAGCUCAGGAAUCUAAUUACCAACUACAGCGCUAAAUAUCUUUACUCACAAAUUCUACUAUCUUUAGUACAAGUUUGCACUACAUAGCGUGAAAUCAAAAUUCUACGAAUUUAGAACUGUUUUUGAGAAUUGCAGGUUUAAGUACUCCGAAGUACUGUUCGUUUCAGUGGUUGGUGCUUUGAACAGCAAACUCGUCAAAGUAGGUAUCUGAAAACUGCAGCCAUGGACAACGAAGCCUGGAGUGAGACACGUAACUUCCCCUGCAGUAUUUACAGUGCGUAUUCACAUGGCACAGGAUGGGUAUGUUAGAGAAAAUGAGGGAUGCCUUAUCGCGUGCCGCUCCCAACUGGCAUAUGUGUGCAAUCGCCGUAUAACAAUCAAUCAAUCAAUCAAUCAGUCAGUCAGUCAGUCAGUCAGUCAGUCAGUCAGUCAGUCAGUCAGUCAGUCAGUCAGUCAGUCAGUCAGUCAGUCAGUCAGUCAGUCAGUCAGUCAGUCAGUCAGUCAGUCAAUCAAACAUGCUUGUUUUGCAGGAAGUACACAAAACUUCCCUGUGGGAGGCAGACUAAAGGCGAGAAAGCCUGACGAGGUAUUGGCCCCCUGAAGGUUCAGCCACUCGAAUGCACGCAUGCAUUGCAUGUACUUUCGGGCUGUCUUGUGGCUUUAUCGCGUGCUUUUCUUUUGGGUGCUCCUUCCUCUUGGUAAGAACAGGUGUGCGUGGUGAUUAGCCCAACGCUUUGUUAAUGCUGUUUGAAGUUUCUGCCUCUAGAAUCGCUGCUUCCUUCCCUCGUGCAGCUACCGUCUUCAAGCUCUUACGGACGCUCUUCACGAUUUACGAGUCGCCGCUAAGACGUUCUGAAAGUGUUUCGAUUUCCUUGCCAUUGUUAAUUUCGACGUACGUGACGCAAAAUCACAUCCAUAACCUAUUUUCGUCCUCACUGCGUCGUGUGCGCAUGUGCACUGCAUAAACUAAAGGGUGAGA